GAUGAACGCUAGCGGCAGGCCUAAUACAUGCAAGUCGAACGGUAACAUGGCAGCAAUGCUGAUGACGAGUGGCGCACGGGUGCGUAACGCGUAUGCAACCUACCUUCACUGGGGAAUAGCCCGGAGAAAUUCGGAUUAACACCGCAUAAUAUGGUUAGUAGGCAUCUACAUAUCAUUAAAUCUACGGAGGUGAAGGAUGGGCAUGCGUCCAAUUAGCUAGUUGGUGAGGUAAUUGCUCACCAAGGCUAUGAUU
Molecule: ribosomal RNA, 253 nt
Filed under: uncultured bacterium
Lineage: Bacteria
Description: partial 16S ribosomal RNA
Rfam family: Bacterial small subunit ribosomal RNA
Source: RNAcentral